AAAUAGCUUAAGUGUAACCUGAGUCAGAAAAAUCCUACUUGCUGAUUCAGCAGAUUUCUUCCCCUGCCCCCACCUCUGGGUUUCAUUUUCAGUUGGAUCACAGGUUCAAGAUUACCAGAACCAAGAAAAUUAAGAGGUAGGGAAUAUGUGCUCAAGAACAGCAUGUGAGAAAGUGGAGGGUCAAGUCACCCAUGAAACAGCAUCCACUAUGCAUGUGUAGGAAUAGAAAACUGUGUAUUACGCUGCCCAUCAAACAUUCCAGUUACACUGCAGUGCUCUUCUGAAGAUCAAAAGGUGACCAGCACUUCAGUGAACACUGGAUUUAAAACCAACACAUGACUCCAUUCAGAACAGAUGCAAAUUCAGCUUCAGGAAAAGUGAUGCAUAUUUAAUCAAGUUCCUCAAACACAAUAAAGUACAAAGAAUGCUUGAAAUGAGAAUAAAUUUACUUCAUUUAAAUCUUUUAACCUAAUUACAGUAUUCAUUGAAAAUACUUGAU
This is a long non-coding RNA of Athene cunicularia (burrowing owl), 499 nucleotides long. RefSeq lists it as uncharacterized. The transcript has 3 exons. NCBI's taxonomy places the organism in Eukaryota, Metazoa, Chordata, Aves, Strigiformes, Strigidae. The record is from RefSeq and is a predicted model, not a curated record.